This 253-nucleotide ribosomal RNA is filed under the name uncultured bacterium. RNAcentral describes it as "partial 16S ribosomal RNA". It matches the Rfam family "Bacterial small subunit ribosomal RNA", at positions 524 to 776 of the family's 1533-position model. The record is from RNAcentral.
AACGUAGGAGCCAAGCGUUAUCCGAAUUCACUGGGCGUAAAGCGCGUGCAGGCGGUACGAUAAGUUGGAUGUGAAAUCUCCUGGCUCAACUGGGAGAGGACGUUCAAUACUGUCGAACUAGAGGACAGCAGAGGGAGGUGGAAUUCCCGGUGUAGUGGUGAAAUGCGUAGAUAUCGGGAGGAACACCAGUGGCGAAAGCGGCCUCCUGGGCUGUGCCUGACGCUCAGACGCGAAAGCUAGGGGAGCAAACGGG